UGUUUUAUGGCAGUAUUUGAAAAUGACAUCUAAAAAUUAAGAGAUGAACUCAUAUAGAGUUUUAAGAGAUGAAUCGAUGAGAUUCAUUUAAAGAAUAAAUAUUGGAGUAUAAUAUUUUGUUAUAACAAAGAUUUUAUUGGGGAGUACUAAUUAAGUUAUUAAACUUGAUUGUAGGAUGUCAGGUGAAGAAGAAAUUAAAGAUAUCCAUGUGGUGAGUGAAGAAUUCAUAGUUGCACCUGAGCUAGUCGCAGAGGUAGCAGCUGAGAGUUAGGAAGAAGAGGAACCCGAGGAGAAUUUAUUAGGAGAACUUUAUGAUCGAAAUGUAGAACUGCAAAAUCGUAUUCAUGAGUUAGAAGAGCAGGCUGAAGAACGGUAGGUGAUCGUGGAACAAAGGGAUGCAACAAUUCAAGCUUGUGUUACCCGAUAUGUGAUGCUUGAACAGAAGCACUCUUUGGCAGAGUAUAAGAUAAUAAAGCUGGAAUCUGAGAAUUCCAAUGUUAAGGAUCAGCUGAACGAGUGAGAAUGAAGGAUGCAUGGGUAAAAGUCGCACGACACGUUGAUAUUGUGGAAAGAGAAGUCCGAUCUAAGAAGGCUAAAAUAGAUGAUAUGUAUUUCUCUUUUUGGACAGCAAUUAGGAGAACCCAACAUCGAGUUUUGAAUUACCCUAUAAAUUGUGGUCAACCCCAAUUCGAUAUGGAUCGAAGAUUAAUGAUUCAGAUAUGGAUCAGGAAUACGAUGAAGCAGUUGAGGGUGGAAUAUGCCCUAUAGCAAAAGUUAAUUCCAGCGGUAAUGAUGACACUAAAGGCUAUCCCGGAAAAGUCAAAGUCGGUGGUUCAAGUGAGAGCGCUUUUCGUAACUUCCCAAUA
Molecule: long non-coding RNA, 866 nt
Filed under: Panax ginseng (ginseng)
Lineage: Eukaryota; Viridiplantae; Streptophyta; Magnoliopsida; Apiales; Araliaceae
Description: long non-coding RNA (PGIN_LNC006178)
Source: RNAcentral